ACUCCUACGGGAGGCAGCAGUGGGGAAUAUUGCACAAUGGGCGCAAGCCUGAUGCAGCCAUGCCGCGUGUAUGAAGAAGGCCUUCGGGUUGUAAAGUACUUUCAGCGGGGAGGAAGGCGAUAAGGUUAAUAACCUUGUUGAUUGACGUUACCCGCAGAAGAAGCACCGGCUAACUCCGUGCCAGCAGCCGCGGUAAUACGGAGGGUGCAAGCGUUAAUCGGAAUUACUGGGCGUAAAGCGCACGCAGGCGGUCUGUCAAGUCGGAUGUGAAAUCCCCGGGCUCAACCUGGGAACUGCAUUCGAAACUGGCAGGCUAGAGUCUUGUAGAGGGGGGUAGAAUUCCAGGUGUAGCGGUGAAAUGCGUAGAGAUCUGGAGGAAUACCGGUGGCGAAGGCGGCCCCCUGGACAAAGACUGACGCUCAGGUGCGAGAGCGUGGGGAGCAAACAGGAUUAGAUACCCCAGUAGUCCCAUGAU
This 475-nucleotide ribosomal RNA is filed under the name uncultured organism. RNAcentral describes it as "partial 16S ribosomal RNA". It matches the Rfam family "Bacterial small subunit ribosomal RNA", at positions 335 to 801 of the family's 1533-position model. The record is from RNAcentral.